GUCCAGGGUAGCCUAGUGGACAUGGAAUCUGCCCGGUAAGCUGAACACUGUAAGUUCGAUUCCCAUCACUUGACA
RNAcentral lists this transfer RNA (75 nucleotides) under Cordylochernes scorpioides. RNAcentral's name for it is "tRNA-Thr". Lineage: Eukaryota; Metazoa; Arthropoda; Arachnida; Pseudoscorpiones; Chernetidae. The record is from RNAcentral.